RNAcentral lists this ribosomal RNA (274 nucleotides) under uncultured bacterium. RNAcentral describes it as "partial 16S ribosomal RNA". It matches the Rfam family "Bacterial small subunit ribosomal RNA", at positions 523 to 796 of the family's 1533-position model. The record is from RNAcentral.
AGACGUAGGGUGCAAGCGUUGCUCGGAAUCACUGGGCGUAAAGGGCGUGUAGGCGGCCAGGUAAGCGAGGUGUGAAAGCCCUCGGCUCAACCGAGGAAGGGCGCCUCGAACUGCCUGGCUUGAGUCCGGGAGAGGGCGGUGGAAUUCCCGGUGGAACGGUGAAAUGUGUAGAUAUCGGGAGGAACGCCGGUGGCGAAGGCGGCCGCCUGGCCCGGCACUGACGCUGAGACGCGAAAGCGUGGGGAGCAAACAGGAUUAGAAACCCUAGUAGUCC